RNAcentral lists this long non-coding RNA (444 nucleotides) under Brassica rapa (field mustard). RNAcentral's name for it is "long non-coding RNA (BRAP_LNC006136)". Lineage: Eukaryota; Viridiplantae; Streptophyta; Magnoliopsida; Brassicales; Brassicaceae. The record is from RNAcentral.
AAUAUUAUAAUAUCUCACUAUAUUAGUGGUUAAAUCAGUUUUCUCUAACACAAAUACUCACUCCAUUCUUGGAGUUUAAGCUUUUCUAUCUGAUGAUAUUAGUAGUUUGAUCCCAAAAAAAAAAACGGUCGAGCUGUACAUUGUAAUUGGAGAAACAAAACAAACAAAAAUCAUUCGAAGACUUUUAAGGUAUAUGAAACAAAAAUUAGAAAUAACAAUUCUCUCCAAUUAAAGAAUAAGGCAAUAAAUUUGUAAAAAUACAAAAUAAAACAAAAAAUAUACACAUAAAUAAAGAUUUAGUAAAAUAAAAUCAUAAUAUAAUUUUCAUAAUUGAUAGUGCUCAGUUACACUAAAAAGUCUAAAUUUACAAUAUACACAAUUUUAUUUACAUCUUUAAACCUAUUAUCUAAUUAAAAUGAUUCUAAAAAAAGUGUCAGCAUGAAG